CAAUAUGCCUGCCGGCGACCGGCGCACGGGUGAGUAACACGUAUGGAACCUGCCCGCCACAGGGGGAGUAACCCGGGGAAACCCGGCCUAAUACCCCAUGCCGCCCGGACCGGGCAUCCGGUCCGGGCGAAAGGAGGAAUCCGGUGGCGGCUGGGCAUGCGGCGCAUUAGCUUGACGGCGGGGUAACGGCCCACCGUGGCGACGAUGCGUAGGGGUUCUGAGAGGAAGGCCCCCCACCACUGGAACUGAGACACGGUCCAGACUCCUACGGAAGGCAGCAG
This 281-nucleotide ribosomal RNA is filed under the name uncultured bacterium. RNAcentral describes it as "partial 16S ribosomal RNA". It matches the Rfam family "Bacterial small subunit ribosomal RNA", at positions 78 to 354 of the family's 1533-position model. The record is from RNAcentral.